RNAcentral lists this ribosomal RNA (582 nucleotides) under uncultured bacterium. RNAcentral describes it as "bacterial SSU rRNA". It matches the Rfam family "Bacterial small subunit ribosomal RNA", at positions 79 to 657 of the family's 1533-position model. The record is from RNAcentral.
CUUGCUUCUCUUGAGAGCGGCGGACGGGUGAGUAAUGCCUAGGAAUCUGCCUGGUAGUGGGGGAUAACGUCCGGAAACGGACGCUAAUACCGCAUACGUCCUACGGGAGAAAGCAGGGGACCUUCGGGCCUUGCGCUAUCAGAUGAGCCUAGGUCGGAUUAGCUAGUUGGUGGGGUAAUGGCUCACCAAGGCGACGAUCCGUAACUGGUCUGAGAGGAUGAUCAGUCACACUGGAACUGAGACACGGUCCAGACUCCUACGGGAGGCAGCAGUGGGGAAUAUUGGACAAUGGGCGAAAGCCUGAUCCAGCCAUGCCGCGUGUGUGAAGAAGGUCUUCGGAUUGUAAAGCACUUUAAGUUGGGAGGAAGGGCAGUAAAUUAAUACUUUGCUGUUUUGACGUUACCGACAGAAUAAGCACCGGCUAACUCUGUGCCAGCAGCCGCGGUAAUACAGAGGGUGCAAGCGUUAAUCGGAAUUACUGGGCGUAAAGCGCGCGUAGGUGGUUCGUUAAGUUGGAUGUGAAAUCCCCGGGCUCAACCUGGGAACUGCAUUCAAAACUGACGAGCUAGAGUAUGGUAGAGG